This is a long non-coding RNA of Sorghum bicolor (sorghum), 1808 nucleotides long. RefSeq lists it as uncharacterized. The record is from RefSeq and is a predicted model, not a curated record. The transcript has 6 exons. NCBI's taxonomy places the organism in Eukaryota, Viridiplantae, Streptophyta, Magnoliopsida, Poales, Poaceae.
UCUUCCCACGCGACCGAGGCGAUGGGGCGAGGCGACCUCGGUGGUGGCUGGUUCUCGGUGCGGCGGCGGCCAGCCUCAUCCUCCUCCACACCCCUCCCUCCUCGCACUGCAAGGGCAGGGCGAUGGCGGCCCUCGCCGGGUCUUGCGCCGGUGCAUCGGUUCGUCGCCCCCGGCCACGUUGCUGAAACCCUACCUGCCACUUGCUGACCCACGCCGCCGCCCCGUCCUUCACCGUCGCCUCCUCUACCCGCCCGGUCCCGGCGGCCGCUCUUCCCCUGGAACUCUCUUCUCUUCCCCACUGUUUCCACUUCUCCUUCCUCUCCCUCCCCCUCCACGUGGGUGAAUCCUAGCAACGGGCGCUUGCCCUAGCACCCGGCAGCUGGCACACCAGAGGUUCGGCGAGGUUCGGCGCCUUGCUGACGCUGGGUCGUACAUGCUAUGCAGCCCACGCUUGGACCGUGCACAAGCACGGGACCCCUGGUGCCGUCAGCUUGCUCCGACCCCUCCUAUUCCUACUCAACGCCUCUCCAGGUUCCAUGCGCUCUCCCAAUUUUGGCUACCACCAGUUUGAGGAUAGAAACCUCACAUAGAUACACAAUUUCAGAGGCUAUUGCUAAAGUAGAUGGUUACAAUGGAGGUUGUUCAAUGGACUAGCUUGUGGGGAUUUUUCAAGAACGAGUAUGAAACAGAGAAGAAUCUGUUGGGAGGAGCUUUAGGUGCCAAAGCUGCGGGAGAUUUGAAGCUUAGCAUCACUGACCAUGAUAUCUCUUGGUUGUCUCCAAGUACUAUGCGAGGAUUACCCUCAGUAGGCUUGCAGAAUCUUCUUUCCCUGAGUUUGUAGGAGGCAGAGAAGCAUCUUUCAGUCAUGGUGAACUAGACCAUUUUAUGUUCCGCCAAUAUGUAACCGGUGUCUAAUCUCCAAGCAUUUCCAAUGUUAUCAAAAGGUUUCCCCUCCUAGGUCAUAGGAUCAGGAUGACAAUAAAUAAAUUAGAAACUGCAUGCUACACUCUACCAACAUGACAAAGGUAAGAGGUUAGCAUUUAGGUUAUUUUUUAGAUGCUUUGUGUUCGUGCCUCUGAGUGACGAUGACAUAAAUAUUGUUGGCUAUAUAAUAUUCUUAUUUGGAAGAUAUAUUUAUCCUACUGCCUGCUAAAAAAAUGUAGAAUGCAACUUUUUCCUUUUCUUGACUUUCUGUUCCAAUGUUUAUAUACAGAAAGUUGAAAGUACUAAAACUUUAGGGUUAUGAAAAUGGCAUACAGUGACAAAAAAACUUGGUUUGCUAAAAUUUAUUAUGUCUUCAAAUAAAUAUUUCUAUUAGGCAGCAACUUCGAUUUGGUGUGUUCCUGUGAGCCAUCCAUGGUGAAGCUGCCCUGUACUUUAGAGAGUAAGGUCUUCAAUAACGAUGCUCUCGUAUUCUCAAAUCUGGAUUCAGUUUAUUAUAUGGCCCUAAUUCUUGUUCCUUCGAUUGAUAUUGUGCUUGCUGAGGGUGCUGCUCGACAAAAUGGUGUGACAUUGGAAAUCUCCUUGGAGGAGAUUAGCUGCACACUGCAUGUAGAAGUAGUCAACUGCUGGUUGCUCAUGGUUGCUCAUUGCAGGAUUCAGGUUAGAUGUUUGACAUCCUGGGUAAGGAAAGAUUAGGAAAGAUUGUAACCUAUUUCUAUGGAACAACAUAAGAUGCAUCAGCAGUGCAAUAUCAUGAAUAGGUAAUGUAUUAUAAGAUUAUGUUGUUGGAGGACAUAUGCUGUAAGCUGCAUGAAUAUAGCAGUUUCUGCUUUUCCUUUUGCCUUAUACCAAUGAAAUUUAGUUGA